UCUCUUCAACCUCACAAUCAAGCACGCCUCUCUCCCUCUCUCAAGUGGAACACGCUCUGUUCUUUCUCAAAUCAAAACCGGCCGAUCGGCCCUUCUGAAUUCGCUCGACGUCUUCUUCUCCGGCCAUCCAGUCGCCGUCUGCUACCACCGGCAUUAGCUGCCGACGUGUUCGACACAGGCGCUCUCUCUUCCUUCUUCCUUCCUCACGCAGAAACAAGCGAGCCCUAGUUUCAUCUGGUGAGUCGCCGCUGCUGUCGCGCCUCCGUCUGGGAUCCGGCGAUUCAGCCGGCGCUGGCCGCACUCAUUUCUCCCCUCGUCUCAACAUGGAAUCGGGCGGUACCGGCCGCUCUCUCUCUUUCUCGGCCAAGAUCUGAUCGGCCCUCUUCCUCGGCUGUUCAGCGGCCGUCGGUUCCGGUCUCUCUCCCUCACGCUGAAGUUCCGCCGCCGCCUUGUGAAGGCCGGCGAGCGGCGCUGCCUCACUCCCUCUCUCACUUUACAUCUCUCAAAGAAAUUCUCGCCUGUACUUCGAUCUGUUGUCUCCGCUGUCGCUUCUCUGAAAUUGGCGAGUGGAGGGGAAAGCUUGCUGCCGGCGGCGAUUCUCCUAUUCCGACGUUCAUGGAAACUCCGUCAUCGAGUCGUCUCCUCAAAUCAGAGCAGGGCAGCAGCCCGCUCCCUUCUAAAGCUAAGUCAAAAAUAAUCUCGCCCCGUUUUCUAUCGGUUCUUAACGUGAAAUAGGCAAGGAUAAGGUGUAAUCUCUUCUUGCUUUGCAUAAACUCAUAUGCUUGUUUAAAGCUUCAUAUCAAUUGUCCUUAGCUCAUGAAAGCGUAGUUGGUGUAUUUACUAAGUUCAAAAUGCUUAAAAAGUCGUCUAUCAUUGUGAAACUGAUCAUGCUUUGGUUAUGUCGCCUAUCAUGCUUGAAUGCAGUAAUGUGUGAUGGAAAACAAUAUAUGGGCUAAGCAAUACCUUGAAAUGUGUUGUUGGUUAAAUAUUGUUGUUUGUUGAACUGGAGUAACUGAACUUAAGGUUCCUGGCAAAAAGGAAAUGAAUGAUUCUUGUUUUAAUGCAGGUGCUAAUCAAAUGGAAUGAAAUCAUUGAAGCCCAGCCUUACCUUGAGAUCUUAGCAGAAUGAAUUGGGGCUGCUCUUCAAUAUUUUUUCGGUGAAAUGAAGUGAGAUUGAGAGCUGUUUGUUGGCUGGGGUUGAUACUAAUAAUUCAUUGGUGAAGACUUGAGUGUAGUGGUGGGGGAAAAAGAAAAAAAACAUAAUGAUAGUGGUGUGGGAACAAAGUUUAAUGGAAAGAAAAAGAGAAGAAAAAGAAAGGAAAAAAAAUUGUAGAGGAGAAUUAUUGAUGUAUUUUCUCUGACUCGGUGAUUCUGUAACUGUAAAGUGAAUCACGUGCUCAUAUUUGCUUGUACUGUUUAUUUAAAUAAAUCUCGAUUUCGACAUGUGAUAUCUCGCUAAAAUCGAUAAGUUAUAAAAUGAAUCUAAA
Molecule: long non-coding RNA, 1487 nt
Filed under: Salvia miltiorrhiza (redroot sage)
Lineage: Eukaryota; Viridiplantae; Streptophyta; Magnoliopsida; Lamiales; Lamiaceae
Description: long non-coding RNA (SMIL_LNC000487)
Source: RNAcentral